RNAcentral lists this transfer RNA (76 nucleotides) under Propionibacteriaceae bacterium. RNAcentral's name for it is "tRNA-Arg". It matches the Rfam family "tRNA". From Rfam's summary of the family: Transfer RNA (tRNA) molecules are approximately 80 nucleotides in length. Their secondary structure includes four short double-helical elements and three loops (D, anti-codon, and T loops). Lineage: Bacteria; Bacillati; Actinomycetota; Actinomycetes; Propionibacteriales; Propionibacteriaceae. The record is from RNAcentral.
GCCCCCGUAGCUCAGGGGAUAGAGCAGCGGCCUUCUAAUCCGUCGGGCGGAGGUUCGAAUCCUCCCGGGGGCGCCA